AGAACGAACGCUAGCGGCAGGCCUCAAACAUGCAAGUCGCACGCGAAAGGUAGCAAUACCGAGUAGAGUGGCGCACGGGUGAGUAACACGUAGCUAACUUCCCCUCUCGCUGGGGACAACUCCGGGAAACCGGAGCUAAUACCGAAUGAUCUGAUCGAAUCUGCGGGUUUGAUCGGUAAAGCCUUCGGGCGCGAGAGGAUAGGGCUGCGGCCUAUUAACUUGUUGGUAGGGUAAUGGCCUACCAAGGUGACGAUAGGUAGCUGGUCUGAGAGGACGACCAGCCACACUGGAACUGACACACGGUCCAGACUCCCAGGGAGCAGCAGUUAGGAAUAUGGACAAUGGGCGCAAGCCUGAUCCAGCCAUGCCGCGUGAGGGAUGAAGGCUUUCGGGUCGUAAACCUCUUUAGCAGGACAAAGGGCAACCUGAUGGUACCUGACAAGAAAAAGCACCGGCUAACUCCGCGCCAGCAGCCGAC
Molecule: ribosomal RNA, 478 nt
Filed under: uncultured soil bacterium
Lineage: Bacteria
Description: bacterial SSU rRNA
Rfam family: Bacterial small subunit ribosomal RNA
Source: RNAcentral